UCAAUGGACCCUUUUCAUUUUCUUAUUGUUUUGGUCCUCACUAAACCGUCACUCCCUCUCACACCCUCUCACCACUCUUUCUCUCUCUCCUCAUCAUGCUCGGCUUCCUCCUCUCCGUUCACAAGCACGGUUGAGCAGCCGACCACCACUCCUUCAUCUCCUCCCUCCCGCCGCCUAUAAUAUUGUUGAUGUAUUUGUUGGGUGUUGUUGUUGUUAAUGAAAGAGUUCUUACCCUCUCUUAUUCUUCCUUCAUCUCUCUCUCGAUCUUCUCUUUUGCUGCCGCCGCCACAACUAGUAGUGGCCUCCGACCCACCGUCACUCACUCCAUCGUGAAAAUGGUAAUUAAUUUUAACUCCUUCAAUUCCUUAAUUGAUUGAUUAAUUUGAUUUAAGACCAUAAACCCUAACUCACAUAUUUUCUCUCUCUUCUUGUUGUUUGGGUGCGCCGGCCUCUCUAUCCCGGCGGCCGCUGUUGUGGUGGCUGGGGUUGUUGGUUGGUGUUGCUGCUCUUGCUCAUGGUAUCAUCUAUACUCUACCUCACUCCUCUGCCCUCCCCUGCCUCUUAUUCUCUCAUCCCUGCUCGCCGGAGCUCCACGGUGGCUACCGAGGUAAGUGAAUGCAGAACGACUAAGGUGAAUCGAAGUAUGGGAUUAUACGGAGAGUCGUGAUCAAGUGAGUAGCUUUGGAGUUUUUUUUUAUGUUGUGAUUGAAGGUACACAUUGUCCAACCAUCUUCGAUGUUUGAAAUUGUAUUGUGUGUUUCAAGUAAUAUGUAUAUGUAUAUAUGUAUUGAUUUUAAAUUGUGCAUUAAAAAGUUAAAUUAUUCUUUGGUAAUUGAAUUUGCGCUUUGCAAAUAAAUUUGAUUUUUUAUUUUGUAUAAAUGAAAUGAUUUAUUGAUUGAUUUCUUGAUCGGUAAAAUGAAACGGUUUUGGAAUUGUAAAUGCUUGUGAGUUGUGAGUGAGAUAAGACUGUGCGCUUUGGGGAUAGAACCCGUCGAGAAUACUCCAAGUUGAGUUGUAAAUAAAACAAUGACAUGGUUAAUUAUGAAGUAUGUAAAUGAAUAUAAAAUAUUAAGAAGUGUCAUGAACAAAAGUUAAUCUCGAAUUAGGUAAAUUGAUGGUUAAGUGAUAUGUGCGUUUUAUAUAGUGUUUCACCCCCGUCCCUUAGUACUUUUUAUGUGUCAAACGUGCUCUUAGGAGCCGUUUCUAGUACUAAUGUGUGUUAUUGAGUGUGCCUUGAGUUUCAGGUUUGAUUAUGAGAAAUUGGUCUUUUUAGACCCGUUUCAUGUUGAUCCAGGCCACUAUAUGAGCCCGAGGAAGUUCGGGACCUCCAUCGUCGACUUUCGGGAGCCUUGUAUGCUUAUGGUUGAGCCCCGAGAGUCAGACUCAGUGAUAUGGGCGAGUUAUAUUGAAGAUUGCAAAUCGCUCUAGAAGCUGAGGGCGAAAUGCAACCAUCGGGCGGAAUUGAAGCAAAUUGGACUCAUCAACGCGCGCCCGAUCGGGCGCAGCUCGCCUGAUCCGGAUCGGGCGGUCAUCCGGAAGCUUAUGUGGAGAGUUCGCAAACCGCCCGAUCGGGCGGAUUUUGGCCCGAUCGGGCCGACUAUCGAGUGCAUAGCCCGAUCGGGCGAAGCGACGCCCGAUCGGGCGACGCCAACCUCCUGCACUUAUGCGCGAGUUUUCUUUCCGGUUUAUGGCUUGUAUUUUGGGCAAACUAUAAAUACUAGCACCUUAUAUUUUUAGAGACACAUUAUUUUUCUAGUAUCAAACACUUAGUUUAUUUUCCUAAGCUUAGUUUUCUCUCUAAUUUGUCCCAAACACUUAGUUUUAUUUCCAAUUAAAAGUUCAAACUUUAUUAUUC
This is a long non-coding RNA of Spinacia oleracea (spinach), 1855 nucleotides long. RefSeq lists it as uncharacterized. The transcript is spliced from 2 exons. NCBI's taxonomy places the organism in Eukaryota, Viridiplantae, Streptophyta, Magnoliopsida, Caryophyllales, Amaranthaceae. The record is from RefSeq and is a predicted model, not a curated record.